UUUUUUUUUUUUUUUUUUUUUUGUAAAAAAUCCCUUUCUAAACAAGGCAUAAAGUUAAAAAAGUUAAUCGUACCUAUUACUGAAAAUUUUAACUUGAAAUUUAUCUCUUAUCUUAAUCUUUAAAAAAAUUGUGAAAACCAUAUUGGAGGUUAAUAUAACUUGAAAUGCUAGAUAUUUUUUUCAUGCGUAGGCCAAAAGAAACAGCGACGUGUUGAGGACUGUCGUUGGAAAAUUAGCAGGUCCUGUCUACUUGCUUGCUAUACUUUCUCCCCUGAUGCGUUUAUAGAUAGAAAGGGUUCGAUGGGAGCAAGAAUUUUAAGGAACAUCUAGAGCUUUUUGGAUCCGUUUGGUUAGUAUUAUUUGAAACAAAAGAAUUCAAAUAUUAUUCGGCUUGUAUCAUAAACAUAAUUUUUAAUUAUUUUUUUAUCUUAUAUGUAUCACAUUACAAAAAGUGCUACCGUAUAAUUUUAAAGCCCUCUUCCAAAAAAUGAAUAAAUAUAUAAAUAAAAUACUCCCACAAUUCCAUUGGGAAUGUCAUGUUUUUCAUUGUGGAAUGUCCCAAAAUGUUUGCCACAUCAUUAGAAAACUCAACUAGGACCUCAGUCCAAAGAGCUGACCGAUUCAACAGGUUACUAGUCCAAUCGUGGGUUGGCCAAUUCAACUACUAAGUGCAUUACAUAGUAUAAUAAUACAUUUUGAAUUAUAAAAAUAUUAUAAUUUUUAAUUUGAAGGUUCAAUCAACAAUUUUUUUUCUGAUUUGAACGGUUGAACCGCUGGGUUGUUCACUGGUCAAUGGAUUUAUUACUUAUCCGGUCUAACUUGAAAACCAAUCCAAUUAGGUGGCCGAUUCACCAGUUUGAACGGUUGAACCGUCAGGUCUAGCCGAAAUUUGUAACUAUGGUUUGUUAUUUUACCAAAGUCAAAGUUAUUUUUUAUCUCUUUUUUCAAGAUUGUCCCCAUCUUUAUCUAUAUUUCAUACUAAAUUGAAAUUUGAAUUUUAAAUUCUUGAAAGCAACUUUAAAAACAAAUCUACUAACAUUGCCAUCAAACUAUUAUUCUUAAUAAGUUAAAAUCCCGAAAUGCGACAAAUAAUUUGGGACGGAGGAAGUAAUUAGCUUUGGGCCUGCAUAUGGAACCUGCGGAGUUGGCUUUGGGCUAAUAAUUAGCUCUAGCCUACAUCUGUAACCCAGACUUAUAAUGGACAUAGUUGAGAGGUUUCUGAAGAGAUUUUGAAAGCAACAAUGGGAUAUACAGGCCCAAAGGAAGUAUAUUGGCCAACAACUAUUCUGUUUUGUUAAUACUCGAGAUUAAGACCUUGUGACAGGUCGUCAGCCUGUGCAAUAAUAAUAAUAAAAAUAGAACCUAGCUACCACCAAAAGCAGUCAAUAAUUAAUCCUAGGUACUGGAGCAGGGACUCUAGGUGUGCAAUGGGUUACUUGAUUCACCCUAUUCCCGAAGAGUUUGCUUAACCCGAUAUACCAGAAUUCAUUAAUUGACAAAAAUUACUAAAUAGUAGACAGUGGCAAGUAGGGUCGUCUCCUCAGGGACUGGAGAUAUCUGUCUCUUUCAAAGUCCAAUUGAUAAAGGGGGAUUUCACCGGAAUGCAACUAAAAACAAUUAAACAAUUUAACUAAAAAUGAAUAAAUAACUAGCGCAAAUAUAGCAGGAAUUUAAUCAGGAAUAAAUAAAUUCUAGUCAAGGAUACAACUACUCAGGCACAGUCCAUUUAUCCGAUCAUUGAUGCAGGAGAGGUUCACUUAAUGUAUUAAUAGGCUAGUUAUAGUCUGACAACCAAUUUUUCCUUAAGUUAUAGGUGACCAAGGUACGACCAUUAAUCACCCCUAACCAGAAAAGUACUCCUAGGUACGACCGUAGGAAUUAAUUUUCUAAUUGCAUUAAUAACCAGAAAAACCUAGCCCUAAUCAAUAACACGCUACGAGGGUUAUUUAAAUUAGAUUGCACAUUCCUCUAAUGUGUAAACACACCAGUUGCCACUAAUAUUAAUCAAUCAAACAAUUACGGAUUUAAUUGACUAAAUUGGCACGAGAUUAAUAAAUCAAGUUGAACAUCGGGCCCUUGACAUCCAAUUAAUAAAAUAAUCCCAUGAAAAUUAAAUCAGACAACAUGCAAAUAUUAAUAGAUAAAGGAACACGUGAAAACUAAUUAGAUCUCACAGAUUUUCGGGACUGCGCCGUCGAGUUGACCCUUGACUAGAUGAAAGACUUAGCCACGCCGCAUAAUUAAAUCACCACACGAGUUAAUAAAUUGCGAAGGCAUCGUUUUGUACUAAGAAAUAAGGAAUGAAGGAGGUUUUCCCCGUUGGGGAAUAUUGUCAAGCACCUGGCGUGUGUCAGAGGCCAGUCCAAGGAAAAGAAAGAAAAAAACUAAACUAAAGACUAGGCUAAAAAGCUAAACUAAAAGCGGUCCCUCGCCUCUGUACGUUAGCUCCCUAUUUAAAGCCAAAGGAAAGAUAUCCAGUGGUCCCCACCAAUUGGACACAAGCUGCCGAAUUCAUCUCCUUGUUUUGAGCCUCUGCGCGGUCCCCACCAAUUGGCCACAAGCUGCCGAAUUACUUCUUGUUCCUAAGGCUUUGUACGUUGCCUUUACUAGCUCUUGUAGCUCUUGUGGUCCCAGCCAAUUGAGGCUUUCUGCUGGAGUCUCCCAAAUUUGCAUCC
Molecule: long non-coding RNA, 2675 nt
Filed under: Coffea arabica (coffee)
Lineage: Eukaryota; Viridiplantae; Streptophyta; Magnoliopsida; Gentianales; Rubiaceae
Description: long non-coding RNA (CARA_LNC007953)
Source: RNAcentral